This 508-nucleotide ribosomal RNA is filed under the name uncultured cyanobacterium. RNAcentral describes it as "bacterial SSU rRNA". It matches the Rfam family "Bacterial small subunit ribosomal RNA", at positions 379 to 902 of the family's 1533-position model. Lineage: Bacteria; Bacillati; Cyanobacteriota. The record is from RNAcentral.
CGAGCUGACGGAGCACGCCGCGUGAGGGAUGAAGGCCUUUGGGCUGUAAACCUCUUUUCUCAAGGAAGAAGACCUGACGGUACUUGAGGAAUAAGCCACGGCUAAUUCCGUGCCAGCAGCCGCGGUAAUACGGGAGUGGCAAGCGUUAUCCGGAAUUAUUGGGCGUAAAGCGUCCGCAGGCGGCCGUUUAAGUCUGUUGUUAAAUCGUGGAGCUCAACUCCAUCACGGCAAUGGAAACUGUUCGGCUUGAGUAUGGUAGGGGCAGAGGGAAUUUCCGGUGUAGCGGUGAAAUGCGUACAUAUCGGGAAGAACACCAGUGGCGAAAGCGCUCUGCUGGACCAUUACUGACGCUCAUGGACGAAAGCCAGGGGAGCGAAAGGGAUUAGAUACCCCUGUAGUCCUGGCCGUAAACGAUGAACACUAGAUGUUGGGGGAAUCGACCCCCUCGGUGUCGUAGCUAACGCGUUAAGUGUUCCGCCUGGGGAGUACGCACGCAAGUGUGAAACUC